RNAcentral lists this ribosomal RNA (502 nucleotides) under uncultured bacterium. Its description in RNAcentral is "bacterial SSU rRNA". It matches the Rfam family "Bacterial small subunit ribosomal RNA", at positions 30 to 504 of the family's 1533-position model. The record is from RNAcentral.
UGAACGCUGGCGGCGUGCUUAACACAUGCAAGUCGUACGAGAACGCUUCUGCUUGCAGAAGUUAGUAAAGUGGCGUACGGGUGAGUAACGCGUGGGUAAUCUACCUCCGAAUUGGGGAUAACAUUGCGAAAGCGAUGCUAAUACCGAAUGAUAUCCGUCGAUUUUCGAAUCUUUGGAUCAAAGGUGGCCUCUUCAUGAAAGCUACUGUUUGGGGAUGAGCCCGCGUACCAUUAGCUUGUUGGUAGGGUAAUGGCCUACCAAGGCAACGAUGGUUAGCUGGUCUGAGAGGAUGAUCAGCCACACUGGAACUGACACACGGUCCAGACUCCUACGGGAGGCAGCAGUGAGGAAUUUUGCGCAAUGGGGGAAACCCUGACGCAGCAACGCCGCGUGAGUGAUGAAGGCUUUCGGGUCGUAAAGCUCUGUCAAGUGGGAAGAACUUGCAUAUGGCCAAUACCCAUUUGCACUGACGGUACCACUGAAGGAAGCACCGGCUAACUCC